This is a small nuclear RNA of Monodelphis domestica (gray short-tailed opossum), 104 nucleotides long. The record is from Ensembl. NCBI's taxonomy places the organism in Eukaryota, Metazoa, Chordata, Mammalia, Didelphimorphia, Didelphidae.
UUGCUUUGGCAGCACAUAUACUAAAAUUGCAAUGAUACAGAGACUAUUAGUAUGGCACCUGUACAAAGAUGACAUGCAAAUUUCUGAAGUAUUUAUAUAUAUAU